UGAGGAAUAUUGCACAAUGGGCGCAAGCCUGAUGCAGCGACGCCGCGUGUGGGAUGAAGGGGCUACGCCUCGUAAACCACUGUAGCCCGGGACGAAAAACGCCUUAGAGGCGUUAGACGGUACCGGGAAAGUACGGGUCGGCUAACUCCGUGCCAGCCGCCGCGGUAAUACGUAGGACCCAAGCGUUGUCCGGCUUUACUGGGCGUAAAGGGUGCGCAGGCGGAUGGGUAAGUCAGGGGUGAAAGUCUCCAGCUUAACUGUAGAAUUGCGUUUGAUACUGCUCAUCUUGAGUGUGGGAGAGGUUGAUAGAAGUCCAGGUGCAGCAGUGAAAUGCGUAGAUAUCUGGAAGAACACCAGUGGCGAAGGCGGUCAACUGGCCCAGAACUGACGCUCAUGCACGAAAGCGUGGGGAGCAAACA
RNAcentral lists this ribosomal RNA (419 nucleotides) under uncultured bacterium. RNAcentral's name for it is "bacterial SSU rRNA". It matches the Rfam family "Bacterial small subunit ribosomal RNA", at positions 355 to 774 of the family's 1533-position model. The record is from RNAcentral.